This 86-nucleotide transfer RNA is filed under the name Holdemania filiformis. It matches the Rfam family "tRNA". Rfam says of the family: Transfer RNA (tRNA) molecules are approximately 80 nucleotides in length. Their secondary structure includes four short double-helical elements and three loops (D, anti-codon, and T loops). Further hydrogen bonds mediate the characteristic L-shaped molecular structure. tRNAs have two regions of fundamental functional importance: the anti-codon, which is responsible for specific mRNA codon recognition, and the 3' end, to which the tRNAs corresponding amino acid is attached (by aminoacyl-tRNA synthetases). tRNAs cope with the degeneracy of the genetic code in two manners: having more than one tRNA (with a specific anti-codon) for a particular amino acid; and 'wobble' base-pairing, i.e. permitting non-standard base-pairing at the 3rd anti-codon position. Lineage: Bacteria; Bacillati; Bacillota; Erysipelotrichia; Erysipelotrichales; Erysipelotrichaceae. The record is from Rfam by way of RNAcentral.
GGAGAAAUACCCAAGUGGCCGAAGGGACCAGUUUCGAAAACUGGCAGAGGUGAAAGCCUGCGGGGGUUCGACUCCCUCUUUCUCCG